GAUGAACGCUAGCGAUAGGCUUAACACAUGCAAGUCGAGGGGCAGCAUGGUCUUAGCUUGCUAAGACUGAUGGCGACCGGCGCACGGGUGCGUAACGCGUAUGCAACUUGCCUCACAGAGGGGGAUAACCCGUCGAAAGACGGACUAAUACCGCGUACACUUCAUCUUGGGAAUCCAAGGCAGAGGAAAUGAAAUUCGCUGUGAGAUAGGCAUGCGUCCCAUUAGCUAGUUGGUGAGGUAACGGCUCACCAAGGCGACGAUGGGUAGGGGAACUGAGAGGUUGAACCCCCACACUGGUACUGAGACACGGACCAGACUACUACGGGAGGCAGCAGUGAGGAGUAUUGGUCAAUGGGCGAGAGCCUGAACCAGCCAAGUCGCGUGAAGGAUGACUGUCUUAUGGAUUGUAAACUUCUUUUAUACGGGAAUAACAAGAGUCACGUGUGACUCCCUGCAGGUACCGUAUGAAUAAGCAUCGGCUAACUCCGUG
This 490-nucleotide ribosomal RNA is filed under the name uncultured bacterium. RNAcentral describes it as "partial 16S ribosomal RNA". It matches the Rfam family "Bacterial small subunit ribosomal RNA", at positions 28 to 507 of the family's 1533-position model. The record is from RNAcentral.